Molecule: ribosomal RNA, 144 nt
Filed under: uncultured eukaryote
Lineage: Eukaryota
Description: partial 18S ribosomal RNA
Rfam family: Eukaryotic small subunit ribosomal RNA
Source: RNAcentral
UGGUGGAGUGAUUUGUCUGGUUAAUUCCGAUAACGAACGAGACCUUAACCUAUUAACUAGCGACGCUGCAAGUUCAUCCUUGCUGCGUUGUCUUCUUAGAGGGACUUUGUGCGCUAUAGCUCAAGGCAGUAUUAGGCAAUAACA